RNAcentral lists this ribosomal RNA (3933 nucleotides) under Triticum aestivum (bread wheat). RNAcentral's name for it is "partial small subunit ribosomal RNA". Lineage: Eukaryota; Viridiplantae; Streptophyta; Magnoliopsida; Poales; Poaceae. The record is from RNAcentral.
AUGAUUGAGAAGAUUGAACGCUACACAAGUCCAAAGAACAUAACAGCAAUGGGAUCUCGAAGCAUCUGCCUUCUCAUUCUUCUUGUGAUCUUCAUCCCCAGCUCUGUCAUGUCUGAAUCAAGUGAUAUAAAAACUUUAUUCACUCUGAGGCACUCAAUUGCUGAAGAAAAAGGUUUCCUUCGCAGCUGGUUUGAUUCAGAAACUCCCCCAUGCAGCUGGCUAGGUAUAACCUGUUCGGGGCGUAGCGUUGUGGCCAUAGACUUGUCCUCCAUGCCACUCUACGUCCGGUUUCCUUCAUGCAUUGGGGCAUUCGAGUCGCUUGUUCUGCUGAACUUAAGUGGGUGUGGGUUUACUGGUGAGCUUCCAGACACCCUGGGGAAUUUGCAGCGUCUUCAGUACCUAGAACUGAAUGAUAACCAGCUUACUGGGAACCUGCCUGCCUCAUUAUAUACCUUGAAGAUGCUGAAAGAAAUGGUGCUUGACAACAACUUAUUACAUGGACAACUCAGCCCUGCAAUUGCUCAGUUGCAGCAUCUCACCAAGCUGUCCAUAUCCGGGAAUUCCAUCUCCGGUGGCAUUCCUACAGAGUUGGGCAGUCUGCAGAACCUAGAGUUUCUGGACCUUCACAUGAACAGCCUAAAUGAAUCUAUACCAGCAGCUUUUCGUAAUCUGUCUCAGCUGUUGCAUCUUGAUCUAAGCCAGAAUAACCUCAGUGGAUUAAUAUUUUCUGGAAUCAGCUCAUUGGUGAACCUUAUGUCACUUGAUCUGUCCUCAAACAAUUUUGUGGGGCCAAUACCUAGGGAGAUUGGUCAACUGGAAAACCUUCGACUGCUGAUUUUGGGCCAAAAUGCGUUCAGCGCGAGCAUUCCAGAAGACAUUGGUAAUCUGAAGCGGCUUCAAGUACUUCUGCUCCCUGAAUGCAAACUCACAGGCACCAUCCCUUGGUCAAUCAGCGGUCUUGUAAGCCUGGAGGAAUUUGACAUAUCAGAGAACCACUUAGAUGCUGAACUCCCAACAUCAAUCGGUCUGCUUGGCAAUCUGACACAGCUGAUUGCGAAGAAUGCAGGGCUCAGGGGGAGCAUACCGAAAGAACUAAGUAACUGCAAGAAGAUUACUCUCAUAAAUCUGUCAUUUAAUGCCUUCAUUGGCUCCAUCCCUGAAGAACUUGCAGAACUGGAAACUGUUAUCUCUUUUUCUGUGGAAGGGAACAAACUAUCAGGCAAUAUUCCAGAUUGGAUAAGGAACUGGGCAAAUGCAAGAUCUAUAUCGCUGGGUCAAAACUUGUUCAGUGGACCUUUGCCAUUGCUGCCAUUGCAGCAUCUGCUCAGUUUCUCUGCAGAAACCAACCGUCUCUCAGGUUCUGUCCCUGCUGAGAUGUGUCAAAACAACUCCCUGCAAACACUCAUACUGCAUGAUAACAAUCUGACUGGAAGUAUCGAGGAAACUUUUAAAGGAUGCACAAACCUCACCGAGCUGAACUUGCUAGGUAACCAUCUUCAUGGAGAGAUACCAGGGUACCUGGCUGAGCUGCCUUUAGUUAGUCUGGAAUUGUCCCUUAACAAUUUCACAGGAAUGCUGCCUGACAGGUUGUGGGAGUCAUCAACUCUUUUGCAGAUCUCUCUCAGCAAUAAUCAGAUUACCGGCCAGAUCCCAGAUAGCAUUGGUAGGCUGUCCAGCUUGCAGAGGUUGCAGAUUGACAAUAACUAUUUGGAAGGACCCAUUCCAGAGUCUGUUGGCUAUCUACGAAAUCUGACUAUUCUGUCUCUGCAUGGCAAUGGGUUAUCUGGGAACAUUCCAAUAGAACUCUUCAACUGCCGAAACCUUGCUACACUGGACCUGAGCUCUAAUAAUCUGACCGGUCACAUCCCGAGGGCCAUAUCGAACCUGACAUUGCUCAAUAGCUUGAUUUUGUCUUAUAACCAGCUCUCUGGUGCUAUUCCUGCUGAGAUCUGUGUGGGGUUUGAAAAUGAGGUUCACCCUGACUCGGAGUUUGUGCAGCAUAACGGCCUUCUUGAUCUGUCAUACAACCGGUUGACUGGUCAGAUUCCGGCAGCAAUAAAGAAGUGUUCUAUGCUGAUGGUGCUAAACCUGCAAGGCAACUUGCUAAAUGGCACCAUUCCCUCAGAGCUUGGUGAGCUGACAAAUCUUACAAGCAUUAAUCUGUCUUCUAAUGGAUUAGUUGGACCAAUGCUUCCUUGGUCUGCACCAUUGGUACAACUUCAAGGCCUUAUUCUAUCAAACAACCACCUAAAUGGCACCAUUCCUGUUGAGAUAGGCCAAGUUCUUCCCAAAAUUUCAAUGCUAGACUUGUCCGGUAAUGUACUUACCGGAAGUCUACCCCAGUCUUUGCUGUGCAACAAAUAUCUGAACCGCCUGGAUGUCAGUAACAACAAUCUCUCUGGGAAAAUUUUAUUCUUUUGUCCCAUGGACGGAGAAUCCUCAAGCUCAUUGCUUUUCUUCAAUUCAAGCAGUAACCAUUUCUCAGGGACCCUAGAUGAGUCUAUCUCAAACUUCACACAACUGUCUUCUCUUGAUAUCCACAACAAUAGCCUCACUGGAAGCUUACCAUCAGCACUCUCUGAUCUCAGCUUUUUGAACUAUCUUGACCUCUCAAGCAAUGAUUUCUAUGGUGUCAUCCCUUGUGGUAUUUGCAAUAUAUUUGGCCUCACAUUUGCCAACUUCUCUGGUAACCACAUCGAAAUGUUCAGCUCAUCUGAUUGUGCAGCAGGAGGUGUUUGUUCUACUAUUGGCACUGGUCGUAGGGUGGCUCAUCCAUCUCAUCGAGUUCGAAGAUUAGGGAUCAUUUGUAUCCUUUCACUUGCUGUCAUCAUUGUGUUGGUACUUCUGGUGUUUUAUCUGAGACACAAACUAUCAAGGAACAGUUCAUUGGUUAUUGUGCCUGCUGGUAAGGCCAAGGCUACCGUUGAGCCAACCUCAAGUGAUGAGCUCCUAGGAAGGAAGUCAAGGGAACCUCUGAGUAUCAAUCUCGCAACUUUUCAGCAUUCACUGUUGCGGGUCACUACCGAUGAUAUACUGAAAGCCACAAAGAAUUUCAGUAAAGAACACAUCAUAGGUGAUGGUGGCUUUGGCACUGUCUAUAGGGCGGCACUCCCUGAAGGCCGGAGAGUCGCGAUCAAGAGGCUUCAUGGUGGCCAUCAGUUCCAGGGUGACCGUGAAUUCCUAGCUGAGAUGGAGACCAUUGGAAAGGUGAAGCAUCCAAACCUUGUUCCCCUGCUUGGUUACUGUGUUUGCGGCGACGAGCGGUUCCUGAUCUACGAGUACAUGGAGAAUGGGAGCCUUGAGAUAUGGCUGAGGAACCGUGCAGAUGCGGUUGAAGCACUUGGAUGGCCAGACCGUCUCAAGAUCUGCCUUGGUUCUGCCCAUGGACUUGCUUUCCUUCAUGAAGGAUUUGUGCCUCAUAUCAUCCACCGGGACAUGAAAUCAAGCAACAUCCUGCUGGACGUGAACUUCGAGCCGAGGGUCUCUGACUUUGGCCUCGCAAGGAUAAUCAGCGCGUGCGAGACUCACGUCAGCACCGACAUCGCCGGUACAUUUGGAUACAUCCCCCCGGAGUACGGCCAGACAAUGAAGUCCAGCACGAAAGGCGACGUGUACAGCUUCGGCGUCGUCAUGCUGGAGCUUCUUACAGGACGGCCACCUACAGGGCAAGAAGACUUGGAAGGUGGUGGGAACCUUGUCGGCUGGGUACGAUGGGUGAUCGCUCGCGGGACAAGGAACGAGCUGUUUGAUCAUUGCCUGCCGGUCUCAGGCGUGUGGCGGGAGCAGAUGGUGCGCGUGCUCGGCAUCGCCCUGGACUGCACGGCCGACGAGCCGUGGAAGCGGCCAAGCAUGGUGGACGUGGUGAAGGGCCUCAAGACGACCCAGGCAAUGGAGUGCGGGCCUCUGGUGGUGACGGUGUCCAGGGGCUCGUAG